RNAcentral lists this ribosomal RNA (273 nucleotides) under Listeria monocytogenes. RNAcentral describes it as "partial 16S ribosomal RNA". It matches the Rfam family "Bacterial small subunit ribosomal RNA", at positions 48 to 309 of the family's 1533-position model. The record is from RNAcentral. Lineage: Bacteria; Bacillati; Bacillota; Bacilli; Caryophanales; Listeriaceae.
CUAAUACAUGCAAGUCGAACGAACGGAGGAAGAGCUUGCUCUUCCAAAGUUAGUGGCGGACGGGUGAGUAACACGUGGGCAACCUGCCUGUAAGUUGGGGAUAACUCCGGGAAACCGGGGCUAAUACCGAAUGAUAAAGUGUGGCGCAUGCCACGCUUUUGAAAGAUGGUUUCGGCUAUCGCUUACAGAUGGGCCCGCGGUGCAUUAGCUAGUUGGUAGGGUAAUGGCCUACCAAGGCAACGAUGCAUAGCCGACCUGAGAGGGUGAUCGGCC